Molecule: small RNA, 132 nt
Filed under: Salmonella enterica subsp. enterica serovar Infantis
Lineage: Bacteria; Pseudomonadati; Pseudomonadota; Gammaproteobacteria; Enterobacterales; Enterobacteriaceae
Also listed under: 18 other names
Description: RtT sRNA
Rfam family: RtT RNA
About the family: This family represents a bacterial cis-regulatory element known as RtT RNA. The exact function of RtT is unknown although it is thought that it may be involved in changing the cellular response in relation to amino acid starvation.
Source: RNAcentral
UAUCUCUCCGUACGGGGAAGGAUGAGAAGCUUCGACUAAGGUUCGAUUCGAGCGAAAGCGAGAAAGCGUUGCCGCAGGCAACGACCCGAAGGGCGAAACGCGCAGCGCUGAGUCAUCCUUCCCCCACCACCA